RNAcentral lists this ribosomal RNA (250 nucleotides) under uncultured bacterium. Its description in RNAcentral is "partial 16S ribosomal RNA". It matches the Rfam family "Bacterial small subunit ribosomal RNA", at positions 334 to 580 of the family's 1533-position model. The record is from RNAcentral.
UUCACCUACGGGAGGCAGCAGUGAGGAAUAUUGGUCAAUGGGCGGGAGCCUGAACCAGCCAAGUCGCGUGAGGGAAGACGGUCCUACGGAUUGUAAACCUCUUUUGCCGGGGAGCAACGGGGUCCUUGCGAGGGCCCAAUGAGAGUACCCGGAGAAAAAGCAUCGGCUAACUCCGUGCCAGCAGCCGCGGUAAUACGGAGGUGGCGAGCGUUAUCCGGAAUGAUUGGGCGUAAAGGGUGCGCAGGCGGUC